Molecule: long non-coding RNA, 135 nt
Organism: Hibiscus syriacus
Lineage: Eukaryota; Viridiplantae; Streptophyta; Magnoliopsida; Malvales; Malvaceae
Exons: 3
Source: RefSeq, a predicted model, not a curated record
GGAGUCUAUGUACGGUUUCUUUAAUUUAAAUUUGUGUAAGCACAAUAGAAAUGAUGAUGAUGAUGAUGAUGAGUUUAGUAGAAAAAAUACUUCAAGUGUUGUACUGGGAAAUGUGAAGUUUUGUUGGAUAUAAUA